AAAUAUUUCCAUCAUGAUAGUGUUGGUGAUCUGAUGGUGCAUUAAUGAUUACGUAAUUAACCAAUUUAAGUUAUCUACAUGUAGAUCCAGGAGUUCAAUGAUGUUAACAGCAACUACAAAAUAUCUAUUCCAAGUACACAGGCUGGUGGUCUGGGUAUCAACCUUACUACAACAGAUACUUAUUAGCUCUAUGGUAGCAAUUGGGCCAUGGAUAGGUGGCACUGAAUAGGUCAAUUGAAAUCUAUACAUGUUUGCAAACUUGCAACAGCUGAUCAAUCUAUAGAGGUAGCUUGCUGAUGGUCUUAAUUUUUUGUUGGUAUAUUCAUGAUGGUAUUCAUCAGUAUUCUGUGGAAUUGACUUAACAAGUCGUAUUAUAAAGAGGGCUUUUAGUAAGUUGAAGCUUGAGCACCACGUGGUCAUCGAAAAAGGCCAACUCCACCAGGAGCGAACAAAACCCAAUGCUGCAAACAUUGAUAAGAUUUCAAGGAGUUAAGAAUAACGAUCGGUGAGACCUUAACCUUGAAGUUAUCUAAGAGUGUUGUGGUGCUUGGAGGAGGGUGAUGUCUCUGUUUCUUAUUAUUACAUAUACUUUGUGUUUUAUGAUUAAGAACGAUGAUCAUAGCUCGUUUUGUAAUAUGAAUGAUGUUUCUUCUUGUUAUAUAUACUUUGUG
Cucumis melo (muskmelon) is the source of this 671-nucleotide long non-coding RNA. RefSeq lists it as uncharacterized. The transcript is spliced from 3 exons. The record is from RefSeq and is a predicted model, not a curated record. NCBI's taxonomy places the organism in Eukaryota, Viridiplantae, Streptophyta, Magnoliopsida, Cucurbitales, Cucurbitaceae.